GAUCAUGGCUCAGGAUGAACGCUGGCGGCGUGCUUAACACAUGCAAGUCGAACGAUUGAAGCUGGAGCUUGCUCCGGCCGAUUUAGUGGCGGACGGGUGAGUAACGCGUGGGUAACCUGCCUCAUACAGGGGGAUAGCAGUUGGAAACGACUGGUAAAACCGCAUAAGCGCACGGUGUCGCAUGACACAGUGUGAAAACACUCCGGUGGUAUGAGAUGGGCCCGCGU
Molecule: ribosomal RNA, 227 nt
Filed under: uncultured bacterium
Lineage: Bacteria
Description: partial 16S ribosomal RNA
Rfam family: Bacterial small subunit ribosomal RNA
Source: RNAcentral